This 375-nucleotide ribosomal RNA is filed under the name uncultured organism. RNAcentral describes it as "partial 16S ribosomal RNA". It matches the Rfam family "Bacterial small subunit ribosomal RNA", at positions 527 to 896 of the family's 1533-position model. The record is from RNAcentral.
GUAGGUGGCAAGCGUUGUCCGGAAUUAUUGGGCGUAAAGCGCGCGCAGGCGGGGUUCGUUUAAGUCUGAUGUGAAAGCCCACGGGCUCAACCGUGGAGGGUCAUUGGAAACUGGAGAACUUGAGUACAGAAGAGGAAAGCGGAAUUCCACGUGUAGCGGUGAAAUGCGUAGAGAUGUGGAGGAACACCAGUGGCGAAGGCGGCUUUCUGGUCUGUAACUGACGCUGAGGCGCGAAAGCGUGGGGAGCAAACAGGAUUAGAUACCCUGGUAGUCCACGCCGUAAACGAUGAGUGCUAAGUGUUAGGGGGUUUCCGCCCCUUAGCGCUGCAGCUAACGCAUUAAGCACUCCGCCUGGGGAGUACGGCCGCAAGGCUG